UACGUAGGGUGCAAGCGUUGUCCGGAAUUAUUGGGCGUAAAGAGCUCGUAGGCGGUCUGUCACGUCGGCUGUGAAAACCCGAGGCUCAACCUCGGGCCUGCAGUCGAUACGGGCAAACUGGAGUACUGCAGGGGAGACUGGAAUUCCUGGUGUAGCGGUGAAAUGCGCAGAUAUCAGGAGGAACACCGGUGGCGAAGGCGGGUCUCUGGGCAGUAAACUGACGCU
RNAcentral lists this ribosomal RNA (225 nucleotides) under uncultured bacterium. Its description in RNAcentral is "partial 16S ribosomal RNA". It matches the Rfam family "Bacterial small subunit ribosomal RNA", at positions 524 to 747 of the family's 1533-position model. The record is from RNAcentral.